GAAAUGCGAUACGUAAUGUGAAUUGCAGAAUUCAGUGAAUCAUCGAGUCUUUGAACGCACAUUGCACCCCCUGGUAUUCCGGGGGGCAUGCCUGUCCGAGCGUCAUUGCUGCCCUCAAGCACGGCUUGUGUGUUGGGCCCCCGUCCCCCCCCCCAAGGGGACGGGCCCGAAAGGCAGCGGCGGCACCGUGUCCGGUCCUCGAGCGUAUGGGAAGCAACUUUUUGUCACCCGCUCCUGUAGGUCCGGCCGGCGGCCUGCCCAACCCCAACCUUUUUUUCAACCAGGUUGACCUCGGAUCAGGUAGGGAUACCCGCUGAACUUAAGC
This 325-nucleotide unclassified non-coding RNA is filed under the name plant metagenome. RNAcentral's name for it is "partial contains 5.8S ribosomal RNA, internal transcribed spacer 2, and large subunit ribosomal RNA". The stretch from base 1 to 105 matches the Rfam family "5.8S ribosomal RNA", at positions 50 to 154 of the family's 154-position model. The record is from RNAcentral.